CCUACGGGAGGCAGCAGUGAGGAAUAUUGGUCAAUGGCCGGAAGGCUGAACCAGCCAUGCCGCGUGAAGGUCAGUGCCCUAUGGGCGUUAAACUUUUUUUGUGCGGGAGCAAUAAUGGUCACGUGUGGCCAGACGAGAGUACCGUACGAAAAAGCAUCGGCUAACUACGUGCCAGCAGCCGCGGUAAUACGGGGGAUGCAAGCGUUAUCCGGAUUUAAUGGGUUUAAAGGGUGCCUAUGCUGUGAGGUAAGUCAGGGGUGAAAUGCCCCCGCUCAACGGGGUGAAGUGCCAUUGAUACUGCCUUGCUGGAAUGCGGAUGCCGUGGGAGGAAUGUGUGGUGUAGCGGUGAAAUGCAUAGAUAUCACACAGAACACCGAUUGCGAAGGCAUCUCACGAAUCCGCGAUUGACGCUGAUGCACGAAAGCGUGGGUAUCAAACAGGAUUAGAUACCCGAGUAGUC
Molecule: ribosomal RNA, 460 nt
Filed under: uncultured bacterium
Lineage: Bacteria
Description: partial 16S ribosomal RNA
Rfam family: Bacterial small subunit ribosomal RNA
Source: RNAcentral